Long non-coding RNA from Lepidothrix coronata (blue-crowned manakin), 2594 nucleotides. RefSeq lists it as uncharacterized. NCBI's taxonomy places the organism in Eukaryota, Metazoa, Chordata, Aves, Passeriformes, Pipridae. The transcript has 3 exons. The record is from RefSeq and is a predicted model, not a curated record.
UCUUGAGUUUCCCUGUUAUCACACAUCACCUGAACUGUGUCUGUCCUGAUGUGGGAAAACACAAGGAGAAAGGAAUCACAGGCCCACUGUGUCUGUGUAUUUUCUCUUAAGUCUGGGGCAUAUGUUACAUAAUAAAUUUCAUUGCAAUUUAAGUGUAGUCAGAUUAUUUUGAGUUUGCCAUGAAUAUGAACGCGUAUCUGCCCAUUACGAUGAUCAAACUGAAAAAGCUUAAACGUUAUCAAACUGUGGCAGCUAGUUCACAUGUCUCGUAAAAUACUUCUAGGACCCAUUUAUGCCAAGUUCGUGCAAGUUUCUCAUGUAUACAAGUCUCAUCUUAGAUCAAGGCAUCCUGUGAUCAUGUGUCAUGCAUCCGUAAUAGCAUUACAAACAGGGUAACAAGUGGCCAGACUUAGCACAAACGCAGCUGUGGGGAGUCCGACCUAGUGAAAUCUAGUUUAUCUGAAGUCUAGUUUAUGAAUGUUCUUGCAAGACAGCUAACACAGUACUGCACCUUCAAAUGAUACAUCAGUGGCCUUUUGCUUCCUACAGUGAAAAGAAACAUAGACCACAGCACAGAAAAUCAGUUCGGGAAAGUUCCUUGUGACAAAAAUGCAUUCUUGCUUAAGAGCAUCUAGCAUCCUCUGCCCAACCCAAAACCACAGAGGCUAAGUGACAAGUAAGUCUCCUUCUCUAAAGCCAUAAUGAAGAGCUAUAUUAACAAGGCAAUAAAAAAAGCUUGUAAUAAAUUAACUGCUUAGUUUUUUCAGGGAACAUAAAAUUUUUUCCUCAGUUUCAGUCCAUUCAAUCCUCUGCGCUAAAAUGCUCCCAAUGGCUGGCAGUUGCUUGGUCCCAUGGGCAAGCCAUGCUCUCCCUGUGGGAGGUCUGCUGAGGAUGCUGCCCACCCAUGGCAUGGAGUAUGCAAUGUCUGUCUUCUCUACUCACCCACAGUGCAGCAACAAGGAGCCCAGAAAGCUUACUUAAUACCUCCCCGUUUGUGUGCAAUUUCUUUCUGUUCCUGCAGAAACAGAAUAUCAACGUCAUCCUUGCAAAGAUAAGAAAGAACCAGGCUAAAGUAUGACCUUCACUUCCAUACAGUCGUUUUAUCGUGGCUAUAUAUUAUGAGUCGCAGGAUCCUAAAGAGCAGCAGAUAUGACAUUCAUAUGCUCAUGUUAUUGGUUAAUUGUUUGCUAUAUAUCAAAUUCAGUAGGCUGAACCCCUUGAUAGGAAAUUUUUUGGUACAAAAGUGUAUGUGCAUGCACACUCACGAAUGUGUGUGCACAGACAUGAGGUGUCCACAUGUGUGUUGAACAGCUCCCCGUGAGAAGUGAUGUUUUAACAGUGUGUUUGCUGGAGUAAAUGGUGCUCACACAGUUCCCAAGCAGAUGUAAGUUACCCAUAUGCUGUGCAUUUUUAUCUCUUAAACCAGAUUUACUGUGAAAUUAUGUGCAGUAUGAGAUGGUGAUUUUUAGCUUAUCUAUUUAUCUCUACUGGGACUUGGAUUUUUGUCUUGCUUUACUUGUCUGUGAGCCUCCCAGUAGAAGAUUCAUUUGCAUUCACUGAGAUGAUAAACAGUUUUUAUUCUCCAGUCCUGUUAUCAUUUUCUAUUACUUUUUCUUUAAUCAAUUAUUUUUAUUCAUUGAUAACCAGGCUUGUAAAAACAACUUUGAAUAACCAGCACACUAAAACACCCACUAGAAAACAGUUUACAAGAAAUAUCUGUCCCCUGCCCUUUGAUGAGUUUUCAUCCUAUUCUAAGCAAACAUUUUGGAACCAAGUCCUUUAUCGUAGGCUGUCCAACAGCUAGAUACAGAUGCACCCAUCUAUCUAUCUGUCUGUCUAUCUAUCUACCUAGCUAUUUACCUUUGGUUUGCUAAUUGAAACAUUUUUCCUGGAUAGUUUGCUUUCUCAGCAGUUAUUUGCAACAUCUGAAACAAAGUGAAUAUAAAAAGGACCGACUUUGGGAAGUUUUCUUUAAAUGCUCAGAUCCUCAGUGCUUCAUAUUCUCAGGAAAAAAAAAGCUGAACAGAGACCCUUAAACAGAAUUCAGUAUAUGGAAGGAGGAAAAUAUAGUUGUAUUAAAUAAGGAACAGAGGGCCCGCCAUGCAUUAGAUGGCUUGCAACCCAGAUUGGAUUUGCACUGAAGGCUCAUCAAAAUGCAUAUCAGAAAGAAGAUCUACCCAUCAGCUUGCUGAGAUUUCAGACAGGCAUCCUAUCAAACUGGUUCCCAAAUGUCUGAAGUAGCCCCUUACCAUGAAUCAAACUACACUUCUGUCACAGGGCUCCAGUUAUGCUUGUGUCUUACCCUGAGGAGGUAUCCAAGCAGACAGCUAGCAGAAAUCUGGAAGACCAUACAUUCACCCCUUCAUUUCCAAGUCCCCUGUAAGAUGUGGAGCUUUAUUAUGUUUACCUGGAAUGUGAAGUGGUCCAUUUCAUACAACACUGGAAAACGAAGGUCAAUGAAGAUCCUUAAAGAAAUUGGGCUUAGUAAUAGUGACUCUUUUCGUCAGAUUUCAUUUUGUGGGAAUCAUUCCUAUAAUUCUCUGCUUUUCUGAGGAUUUUCUCUAUAUUACCUUCACAACCCUGACCAAGAAAAA